GACGAACGCUGGCGGCGUGCUUAACACAUGCAAGUCGAACGGAAAGGCCCUGCUUUUGUGGUGUGCUCGAGUGGCGAACGGGUGAGUAACACGUGAGUAACCUGCCCUUGACUUUGGGAUAACUUCAGGAAACUGGGGCUAAUACCGGAUAGGAGCUCCUGCUGCACGGUGGGGGUUGGAAAGUUUCGGCGGUUGGGGAUGGACUCGCGGCUUAUCAGCUUGUUGGUGGGGUAGUGGCUUACCAAGGCUUUGACGGGUAGCCGGCCUGAGAGGGUGACCGGCCACAUUGGGACUGAGGUACGACCCAGACUGCUACGGGAGGCAGCAGUGGGGAAUAUUGCACAAUGGGCGGAAGCCUGAUGCAGCAACGCCGCGUGCGGGAUGACGGCCUUCGGGUUGUAAACCGCUUUCGCCUGUGACGAAGCGUGAGUGACGGUAAUGGGUAAAGAAGCACCGGCUAACUACGUG
This 468-nucleotide ribosomal RNA is filed under the name uncultured bacterium. RNAcentral's name for it is "partial 16S ribosomal RNA". It matches the Rfam family "Bacterial small subunit ribosomal RNA", at positions 28 to 507 of the family's 1533-position model. The record is from RNAcentral.